AUUGAACGCUGGGGGUAGGCCUAACACAUGCAAGUCGAACGGCAGCACAGGAGAGCUUGCUCUCUGGGUGGCGAGUGGCGGACGGGUGAGGAAUACAUCGGAAUCUACCUUUUCGUGGGGGAUAACGUAGGGAAACUUACGCUAAUACCGCAUACGACCUACGGGUGAAAGUGGGGGACCGCAAGGCCUCACGCGAUUAG
This 200-nucleotide ribosomal RNA is filed under the name uncultured bacterium. Its description in RNAcentral is "partial 16S ribosomal RNA". It matches the Rfam family "Bacterial small subunit ribosomal RNA", at positions 30 to 224 of the family's 1533-position model. The record is from RNAcentral.